AGCUAAUAGAUACCCGGGUAGUCCACGCCCUAAACGAUGUCUACUAGUUGUUGGUGGAGUAAAAUCCAUGAGUAAACGCAGCUAAACGCGUGAAGUAGACCGCCUGGGGAGUACGGUCGCGAGAUUAAAACUCAAAGGAAUUGACGGGAGCCCGCACAAGCGGUGGAUUAUGUGGAUUAAUUCGAUGCAACGCGAAAACCUUACCUGGCCUUGACAUGCCACUAACGAAGCAGAGAUGCAUUAGGUGCCCGUAAGGGAAAGUGGACACAGGUGCUGCAUGGCUGUCGUCAGCUCGUGUCGUGAGAUGUUGGGUUAAGUCCCGCAACGAGCGCAACCCUUGCCAUUAAUUGCCAUCAUUUAGUUGGGCACUUUAAUGGGACUGCCGGUGACAAACCGGAGGAAGGUGGGGAUGACGUCAAGUCCUCAUGGCCCUUAUGGCCAGGGCUUCACACGUAAUACAAUGGUCGGUACAGAGAGUUGCCAACCCGCGAGGGGAGCUAAUCUCAGAAAGCCGAUCGUAGUCCGGAUUGUUCUCU
This 536-nucleotide ribosomal RNA is filed under the name uncultured bacterium. Its description in RNAcentral is "bacterial SSU rRNA". It matches the Rfam family "Bacterial small subunit ribosomal RNA", at positions 767 to 1306 of the family's 1533-position model. The record is from RNAcentral.